RNAcentral lists this ribosomal RNA (279 nucleotides) under uncultured Staphylococcus sp. Its description in RNAcentral is "partial 16S ribosomal RNA". It matches the Rfam family "Bacterial small subunit ribosomal RNA", at positions 83 to 355 of the family's 1533-position model. Lineage: Bacteria; Bacillati; Bacillota; Bacilli; Caryophanales; Staphylococcaceae. The record is from RNAcentral.
CCUUUGACGUUAGCGGCGGACGGGUGAGUAACACGUGGGUAACCUACCUAUAAGACUGGGAUAACUUCGGGAAACCGGAGCUAAUACCGGAUAAUAUUUCGAACCGCAUGGUUCGAUAGUGAAAGGUGGUUUUGCUAUCACUUAUAGAUGGACCCGCGCCGUAUUAGCUAGUUGGUAAGGUAACGGCUUACCAAGGCGACGAUACGUAGCCGACCUGAGAGGGUGAUCGGCCACACUGGAACUGAGACACGGUCCAGACUCCUACGGGAGGCAGCAGCC